UACGAAGGGGGCUAGCGUUGCUCGGAAUUACUGGGCGUAAAGCGCACGUAGGCGGCGCGGUAAGUCGGGUGUGAAAUCUCGGAGCUUAACUCCGAAACUGCAUUCGAUACUGCCGUGCUUGAGGACUGGAGAGGAGACUGGAAUUUACGGUGUAGCGGUGAAAUGCGUAGAUAUCGUAAGGAAGACCAGUGGCGAAGGCGGGUCUCUGGACAGUUCCUGACGCUGAGGCACGAAGGUCAGGGGAGCAAACGGG
Molecule: ribosomal RNA, 253 nt
Filed under: uncultured bacterium
Lineage: Bacteria
Description: partial 16S ribosomal RNA
Rfam family: Bacterial small subunit ribosomal RNA
Source: RNAcentral